RNAcentral lists this long non-coding RNA (456 nucleotides) under Salmo salar (Atlantic salmon). RNAcentral describes it as "lncRNA (ENSSSAG00000118488.1)". Lineage: Eukaryota; Metazoa; Chordata; Actinopteri; Salmoniformes; Salmonidae. The record is from RNAcentral.
UCUACAUCUGCCUGCCUGGCUGGAUCUGCCUGCCUAUCUACACUGCCUGCCUGGCUGGAUCUGCCUGCCUAUCUACACUGCCUGCCUGGCUGGAUCUGCCUGCCUAUCUACACUGCCUGCCUAGUUGGAUCUGCCGUCUGCAUCUAACAAAGGGUACGAGAGGGCUGGAGUUUGAAAAUGAGGGAGCACUGGGAAAGGAACGCCAGGAAGGUAACAGGAUCGCCUGCAUAACCCCCCGGAGGAGGUGCAGACUGAGACAGGGACACUGAGUGGACUCCCCUAUUGGUGUGCUGUGGUACUGCAGUGGGACCCCUGUGGAGCGCCUUGACAGUUCUGUGCAGUGUGCGUCUGGGUGUGUGUGAGCACCCGUUGAGUAGCCAACAACAACAACCUCUCUCACAGGAAGAACAAUGCCCCUGACAACAACAACCUCUCUCACAGGAAGAACAAUGCCCC